Long non-coding RNA from Octopus sinensis (East Asian common octopus), 171 nucleotides. RefSeq lists it as uncharacterized. The transcript is spliced from 3 exons. NCBI's taxonomy places the organism in Eukaryota, Metazoa, Mollusca, Cephalopoda, Octopoda, Octopodidae. The record is from RefSeq and is a predicted model, not a curated record.
UAUUACAUUUGCUGGGUGUAGGGUUAUUUGGCUCACAACUGCAAGGCUGUGAGUUUGAUUCCUAGUGGCAUGUUGUAUCCUUGAGCAAGACACUUUAUUUCACAUUGCUCCAGUCCACUCAGCUGACAAAAAUGAGGUGUACCUGUAAUUCAAAGGGUCGGCCUUGUCACA